UAGCGUGUGGCCUCCAUUCUGCAGUCCAGCGGACCGGAACCGGAACUUGCUCUCGUUUGGUCAGCGGCGGACGGGUGAGUAACACGUGGGCAACCUGCCCGCAAGACCGGGAUAACUCCGGGAAACCGGAGCUAAUACCGGAUAACACCGAAGACCGCAUGGUCUUUGGUUGAAAGGCGGCCUUUGGCUGUCACUUGCGGAUGGGCCCGCGGCGCAUUAGCUAGUUGGUGAGGUAACGGCUCACCAAGGCGACGAUGCGUAGCCGGCCUGAGAGGGUGGACGGCCACACUGGGACUGAGACACGGCCCAGACUCCUACGGGAGGCAGCAGUAGGGAAUCUUUCCGCAAUGGGCUAAAGCC
This 360-nucleotide ribosomal RNA is filed under the name Geobacillus thermocatenulatus. RNAcentral's name for it is "bacterial SSU rRNA". It matches the Rfam family "Bacterial small subunit ribosomal RNA", at positions 42 to 383 of the family's 1533-position model. Lineage: Bacteria; Bacillati; Bacillota; Bacilli; Caryophanales; Anoxybacillaceae. The record is from RNAcentral.